AUAGUUUUUUAUCCCAUAGUUGCUUUGCUCGCAGUUUUUGCGGGCAGACAGCAAAGCAGUCUUGCUAAAGCAUCUCCUUUCUGAAGGUCAAAAUGCCCUGGGGACUCCCUGAAAUCUCUCUGAGCUGGGUAAUCAAGAGAAAACUCAUCAUGAGACUGCACUGAGAGGAUGGCCUUUCUCCUGGCUAUGUCCCACUGGACAUCUUCAAGGAACUGAAUGCUCAGAAAACUAUCAGAACCACAACAAAAGCUAAGUGAUUUCAAUUUUCUUGGGGUCUAGCUUUCCCAUAUUUGCAAUCUGCAUGAAUAAUUGAGCCAGUAUAAGAAGCAGGGCAGGGACUUGCACUUUUGGCAGCUGCUCAACUCUACUUGGCUCAACCCUGAUGAGAAGCAGAAGUCACAUUUGCUAGUAGGCUCUGGCUGCCAUUUAAUAUCUGUUGGUAUGUUAGGGAUCUGACUCAUGUUUGCUUGACAAGCAGCUAAAAUGGGUUAAAGUAUGUUACUCCCUCAGGCACACAUCAGCUCUUUUGCAGCUGGGGUCAGGACGCCACGGUUUUGCUGGCAUGCUGCAGGCACAGUAUGCUCUGCUCCUGGACAACAACAAAAGUGGGGAGGAGUGAAGGCCUAGAGGGGAAGCACCUCCAGGUGUCACAGACAGAUUUGCAAAAGCUUAUCUCCCAAAACCCACUGUGGGGUCAGGGACUUGGCAUGUCACCAAGCGGGGCAGCGAUGUGGGGCAAGUGGCCCAGGCUGGAAGCACCAGGCUUGCUGUCAGCAGCUGCCUCAUGGCAGCUCCAACAGCACUGCAAGGACCCUGCACUGGCUUUGAGGGCUGCUUAACUUCUGUAUCUCAUUUUGCCCAGCAGUGUAAUGUGAAUGGAUAAGUGCACUGGGUCCCUUUCCAGCUUACAGUUCAAGAGUAGUCUUUUUUCUUUGACUAUCUCUUCUAUCUUCCUAUCUCCUCCUCAGCAGCCACUUCUCCAAGAAGUAAUAACUCAGAUCCUUUAGUUCCUUAUCCUAGCCAAAUGCUUUGAUCAAUUUAGUAUCUCUCUAAACAUUUUCCAACAUGUUUCUAGUCUUUCCACCUUGAAUGAGCCUCACAGAAAAAUGUAAACCAUUUUUUGCUUUCAGCAGAUUAUUUCUUGUUCUUCAGCUCUUCUGUGGUUUUCUUUUCCUUCUUUACUUUUUUUUCCUUUUAAAAAUACUUACACCAUUUUACAUAAAAACUAGACUGACAUUUUAUUUCUGGCACAGGACGCAACCAAAUCCCCACUGCAGUUUCUGUUGGGUUUAGAGCAACAAUCUCUGUUUGAAAACUUAUAAUGCUCCUUACUCUGGAUAACUGCUAAUACACUCUCCCUCAGUGCUUCUCUUGUCACUUGUAGAUGACCACAACUGUGAGACUAUUUUGCCUACCUGAGCUCCUAGAGCAGCACUAUGAGUCUGGAAAGAAAAUUGAUGUUGUUGUGACUGCUGGUCAGUAUCUGCUACUGCCUCUGUCCACUUGUAAUUUGGACUCCAGCAGCCAUCAUGCUGGUUGUUAUUAAUGCUCCACUCUGUUUUCAGGCCUGGUUCUGUUGCAAAACACAUACAAGGAGAAAUAUGCAAGGAACAUUUAGCUCUGUUAAAAUAGACCUGCUGUUUUACUGCUACAUUUCUUUUUCUUCUCUACUGGUUUCCCUCUCCUUCAUCCUCUUAAUGUAGCAUAUUUGUGGGUGCAUAUAGUAGUUCAUUGCAAAAUAUACUGGAUUUAAAGCAAAACAGAGAAAAACUCCCUGAACUGAAAUUGCUUCUUUAAAGCUGCCGCAUUAAGUUUGGCCAUGAUCCACCCUGGAGACUUUCCCUGGCAGAGACUGUGAUGCACACAUCUCAGUUUGGAAUUGCUCUUUCGGACACAGAUUCCCGCAAGAAUAGCAGGAACAUGACAGGCCAAGUCAUGCUAGGCAGCAAAGCCCACUGCAGUCCAGUAAAGACAGUCUGUCCAUUCACCUCUUAUGGACUUUUCCGGGGCUGUCUGCGUGUAAGGGGGCGGGGAAGGGAAAGGGACAAGAGGACAGAAAUGUAGUUGGGGUUUUAAAUUGUUCUGUUUCUGAAGGAUUCAAGUAAUAAUUGUGAAACUGUUCAAGCUUCCAUUAUGGAAAAUUAUUAUCUUUCACAUGUUCUUUAUGCUGUGCUUCACUAAAAACUUGUUUCAUUGUUGGACUGUGUUGAACUCUUACUGGAAAAAUUCCUGCUUUUCUUUUUCUGGCCUGAUCCAGCUGACUUCUAAGCUAAAAGAGAUUUGCUAGAUUUAGAAGUACUGCCAACCCUUGGGUGCUCUGCCAGCCACGUGCAUUUUGAGGAAUCAUUUGAGAUGCCAGAUAAUAACUAGUGCAGGUGGAGUGGUCCCAGGGGCUUCCCAGAGAGGAGCUGCUGGCACAGGACAAGCUGUUGCUGAAGGAAAAAAAAACCCGAAACAACCAUGAAAUCUGAAAGACCAGUAUCCUGGUUUCUGUGAAAACGGAAAUAAAACCCCAUCACUCUGCCAAAUCGAUGUUUUCAAAAGCCUUUGCCAGACUAAUACUCCAGUAUGAAGCAGUAUGAGCUCUCUGUAUCCUCCCACUGCCACCCCAGGGAGAGAGCCCAGGGAAGCACAGGCUCAAGGACCUCUGGAUCUUGCUCACAGUCCUCUAAGGCACCAUUUCCUGCUGUCUCUUUGGCUGCAGACAUCUGCCUGCAUUUGGACAUUGGGAACACGAAUUAAAACCUGCUGUGAUGAAGGACCACAUCUUCAUCCAUGCUUUUGUCUUCUGUCCAGCUCCUAGCGCCCAAAGCUCAAAGUGGAGGGUGGCACAAAAGGCACUAAUGCACAUAUCUGCAGACUGGUCACCUGCAUUAUUGAGGAACAAUGAAUUUCCCCAGUUGGUCUGGAAAGGGAACUUCACUCCAGUGGCACUGCUGACUAGGUGAAAAGGGAAAAAGGCAAUAUUUGGUCCAGGAAUCUCAGUUCUGCACAAUUUCUCUGCAAUCACAAUGAGGAAGACUCACGAAGGCGGAUGAGCAUCCACCCAUUGAGGGCCAUCUCCUCACUGCAGUCAAACCUGCACGACUCCUAGGAAAUGUGAACCCUUAUUAAACAAGACGGGCAGGAAAGUCUAAUAUAAGUCUAACCAGCAAUUUUGCAAGUUGGAUUUUGUACUUCAGGUAGAUCAACAGCAACAGAUAAGAGUUCUUGUAUUUUAUGUAUCUAAUUUCAGCCUUUGACUAGGUUAUGUUGUGCGCCCAAUCCCUUUCUUGACACUUGACACAGCAGCUGCCAAAGCUGGUUUCUGGACAGGCCUGUCUUGGGAACAGUGUGUGCUGUGAUUUGGAUAAAGGGUGCUCAGUCUGGAUGUGUGUCUCUGCUUGCCCCUUCCAUUGCAACUUUGUUGUGGUAACUGUUAUGAAAGCCAAGCCAGCUGCUUCCUAGUUUUACACAAAACACAUUAAUUGGGACCUCUAGCUUUGCUGUAACAACCAACUCC
Long non-coding RNA from Pyrgilauda ruficollis (rufous-necked snowfinch), 3502 nucleotides. RefSeq lists it as uncharacterized. NCBI's taxonomy places the organism in Eukaryota, Metazoa, Chordata, Aves, Passeriformes, Passeridae. The transcript has 5 exons. The record is from RefSeq and is a predicted model, not a curated record.